GGGGUGAUAGCUCAGUGGUAGAGCACUUGUCUAGUAUGCAAGAGGCCCUGGGUUCAAUUCCUCAGCACCACA
This 72-nucleotide transfer RNA is filed under the name Cavia porcellus (domestic guinea pig). It matches the Rfam family "tRNA". Rfam says of the family: Transfer RNA (tRNA) molecules are approximately 80 nucleotides in length. Their secondary structure includes four short double-helical elements and three loops (D, anti-codon, and T loops). Further hydrogen bonds mediate the characteristic L-shaped molecular structure. tRNAs have two regions of fundamental functional importance: the anti-codon, which is responsible for specific mRNA codon recognition, and the 3' end, to which the tRNAs corresponding amino acid is attached (by aminoacyl-tRNA synthetases). tRNAs cope with the degeneracy of the genetic code in two manners: having more than one tRNA (with a specific anti-codon) for a particular amino acid; and 'wobble' base-pairing, i.e. permitting non-standard base-pairing at the 3rd anti-codon position. The record is from Rfam by way of RNAcentral. Lineage: Eukaryota; Metazoa; Chordata; Mammalia; Rodentia; Caviidae.